Molecule: ribosomal RNA, 498 nt
Filed under: uncultured bacterium
Lineage: Bacteria
Description: partial 16S ribosomal RNA
Rfam family: Bacterial small subunit ribosomal RNA
Source: RNAcentral
GACGAACGCUGGCGGCGUGCCUAAUACAUGCAAGUCGAACGAGAGCAACCGGUGCUUGCACUGGUCAAUCUAGUGGCGAACGGGUGAGUAACACGUGGGUAACCUGCCCAUCAGAGGGGGAUAACAUCCGGAAACGGAUGCUAAAACCGCAUAGGUCUUCGAACCGCAUGGUUUGAAGAGGAAAAGAGGCGCAAGCUUCUGCUGAUGGAUGGACCCGCGGUGCAUUAGCUGGUUGGUGAGGUAACGGCUCACCAAGGCCGUGAUGCAUAGCCGACCUGAGAGGGUGAUCGGCCACAUUGGGACUGAGACACGGCCCAAACUCCUACGGGAGGCAGCAGUAGGGAAUCUUCCGCAAUGGACGCAAGUCUGACGGAGCAACGCCGCGUGAGUGAAGAAGGUUUUCGGAUCGUAAAACUCUGUUGUUAGAGAAGAACAAGUGCUAGAGUAACUGUUAGCGCCUUGACGGUAGCUAACCAGAAAGCCACGGCUAACUACGUG